This 73-nucleotide transfer RNA is filed under the name Desmophyllum pertusum. Its description in RNAcentral is "Lophelia pertusa tRNA". It matches the Rfam family "tRNA". From Rfam's summary of the family: Transfer RNA (tRNA) molecules are approximately 80 nucleotides in length. Their secondary structure includes four short double-helical elements and three loops (D, anti-codon, and T loops). Lineage: Eukaryota; Metazoa; Cnidaria; Anthozoa; Scleractinia; Caryophylliidae. The record is from Rfam by way of RNAcentral.
GGCUUCAUAGCUCAGUUGGCAGAGCAUCGCACCGGUAUUGCGGAGGUCAUAGGUUUGAAUCCAGUUGUAGUCU